RNAcentral lists this ribosomal RNA (398 nucleotides) under uncultured bacterium. Its description in RNAcentral is "partial 16S ribosomal RNA". It matches the Rfam family "Bacterial small subunit ribosomal RNA", at positions 523 to 918 of the family's 1533-position model. The record is from RNAcentral.
AUACGUAGGGUGCGAGCGUUGUCCGGAAUUACUGGGCGUAAAGAGCUCGUAGGUGGUUUGUCGCGUCGUCUGUGAAAUUCCGGGGCUUAACUCCGGGCGUGCAGGCGAUACGGGCAUGACUUGAGUACUGUAGGGGAGACUGGAAUUCCUGGUGUAGCGGUGAAAUGCGCAGAUAUCAGGAGGAACACCGGUGGCGAAGGGGGGUCUCUGGGCAGUAACUGACGCUGAGGAGCGAAAGCAUGGGUAGCGAACAGGAUUAGAUACCCUGGUAGUCCAUGCCGUAAACGGUGGGCGCUAGGUGUAGGGGUCUUCCACGACUUCUGUGCCGUAGCUAACGCAUUAAGCGCCCCGCCUGGGGAGUACGGCCGCAAGGCUAAAACUCAAAUGAAUUGACGGGG